This 253-nucleotide ribosomal RNA is filed under the name uncultured bacterium. RNAcentral describes it as "partial 16S ribosomal RNA". It matches the Rfam family "Bacterial small subunit ribosomal RNA", at positions 524 to 776 of the family's 1533-position model. The record is from RNAcentral.
UACGAGGGGUGCGAGCGUUGCUCGGAAUUAUUGGGCGUAAAGGGUAGGUAGGUGGUUUCGUUUGUCUGGGGUGAAAGCCUUGAGCUUAACUCAAGAAGUGCCCCGGAAACGGCGAAACUCGAGUACUGGAGAGGGUCGUGGAAUUCCACGUGUAGCAGUGAAAUGCGUAGAGAUGUGGAGGAACACCGAUGGCGAAGGCAGCCCCCUGGGUCAAGAUUGACGCUCAUGCACGAAAGCGUGGGGAGCAAACAGG